RNAcentral lists this ribosomal RNA (445 nucleotides) under uncultured bacterium. Its description in RNAcentral is "bacterial SSU rRNA". It matches the Rfam family "Bacterial small subunit ribosomal RNA", at positions 355 to 796 of the family's 1533-position model. The record is from RNAcentral.
UCGAGAAUCUUCUGCAAUGGGCGCAAGCCUGACAGAGCGACGCCGCGUGGAGGAUGAAGGCCCUCGGGUUGUAAACUCCUGUCACACGUUAUGAAAUGUACGGGUUACACCCGUGCACUGACAAAGGCGUGGGAGGAAGUCACGGCUAACUUCGUGCCAGCAGCCGCGGUAAGACGAAGGUGGCUAGCGUUAUUCGGAUUCACUGGGCAUAAAGCGCGCGUAGGCGGCUCUUCAAGUCGGAGGUGAAAGCCUGCAGCUCAACUGCGGAACGGCCUUCGAUACUGUCGAGCUUGAGUGCAGGAGGGGUGAUCGGAACUCCAGGUGUAGCGGUGAAAUGCGUAGAUAUCUGGAGGAACACCGGAGGCGAAGGCGGAUCACUGGACUGUCACUGACGCUGAGGCGCGAAAGCUAGGGGAGCAAACAGGAUUAGAUACCCCCGUAGUCC